GGAAGGGCUGUGAAGUCAUGUGGGAAAGUGGAGGCUACAAGAAGGAGUGAAGAAUUGGAGCCAUCAGCAUAAAGCACCACAAGGCUCUAGAAUCAAGCUCAUGACAAGCAGGAGGUAUGCUCAGGAAUUUCACAAGAUGGUAUAUCCAGGAGGCAGUGACAAAAUUAAGACAAACGGAAGCAAGGCCAAUGGUCUUAACUCUGAGAAAAUCCCAAGGAGCUGGUGGCAACCUGAUUUUUUGCAUCCAUUAUAAGUGACCUGGGAAAAGUGAAGAAAGGGUCAGAUAGAAGGAUAGAAGAGAAUCCCGCAGAAGAAAGGCCAGUCUCUCUAGCGGCGCUUUGUCAAGAAGUCAUGCUUUCCCACUCGGAUCUACAAAGGUAUGAUGAGCAACCUUCUCAUGGUGCUGCCAAUGGAGGAUAUGGAGCCCAACACUGAGGAGACAGCAAAGGAUCACCAAGACCUGAGGGUCAGAGGGUAUUAGAGAUGCGGUCAUCAGUUGCAAGGCUGUUGCAAGCCCAAGAUGGAACUCCUGAUAGAAACAGGGGGGUGGGGGGGGGUGUCCCUUCACCUCCUAAGAGCAGCCCCCUGAUACAGCUGCCACAUCCACUGAACCUCUCCUUAUCCUGGUCCCUUCCAGUUAUCCAAGUUGAGCAGCCCCAUUUUGGGCUGCCCUUUCCUCCUUAGCUGUCCUAGGCUUCAAGAUCAAUUAUUUCAAGCAAGUGUUCGGCACCACCCAGUUUCCUCUCCUCACUGAUGCCACCCACCUCAGCCAAUCCCGUCCAUCCCUUACCUAGGAUGAGUCCAGCCGUUCAUUUCUUCAGUUCCCGGCCCUGAGGUGAAAGCUUCUACUGGGAGAAAAAACCCCAAACCAAAAGCAAGAGCUAAGCCAGAAGCUAGACCAGGACCGGCUCUUCUACCCUGUGUAAUUCCUGGCCCGUUCUUGUCUUCUCAUGCCUGCCCAGAAGUUUCAUCCAUUUCCCAAGGCAGCGAUUUCAGAACAUCAUUUCUUCUUCCUCUUUUUUUUUUUAAGUUUACUUAUUUAUUUUCAGAGAGAGAGAGAGAGCAUGCACACAGGGAAGAGGGGCAGAGGGUGAGAAUCCCAAGCAGGAUCUGCUGCACUGGCACCCACUCGGGGCUCGAACUCACAAGCCCAUGAGAUCAUGACCUAAGUCGAAAUCAAGCGUUGAAUGCUCAACCGACUGAGCCACCCAGGCGCCGCUCAGAGCAUCAUUUCUUAUCUCGAAUCCUGAACCUACCCUGAGCCUCUCACUCUCAACAGAAGGCUCUAGCCUCCGCUUCACGGAGAAUAAUAGAAGUCACUACGCGGCCAGAGAUCCCUUCAAACCUCCUCCAUCCAGCCCCAUCUCCAGCUGUCGUUCCUUUCUCCACUCAGAAAGUUGUUUCCCUGUCCCUGCCAAGGCUCACCGUCUGAUACACUCUCAAUUCUCUGCUGCCUCUCUUUUCUGGUGCUUGUUUCAUCGAUUAGUUUUCUCUUCUGCACUUUCAGUGCCCUUAUUUAAUUCUUCCCUCAUUCUGUUGACAUACUCAAAUCACUGUCGUUGUUUUAACAGAUACAAAUCUCUACAUCUCUUCUUUCUUCUGUGGUCACUAACAGCUUUUCUCCUUCCUCACCACCUCGUGUAGCAAAGUUUGUAUUUUCUGCCUUCCUCAUCUCCCAUUUUCUCAACUCCCUGGGGCCUCCCAUUAACGCCAUCAUGGUAACGGAAAGCAUUGUCUGUGGUCACACCCGGAUGAAUGUCCAUAACUUCUGUCUCAGUCAAGCAGCAACUGUCUUGCUUGACACAUUGUGGUGGACCCUGGUGUUCCCACGCAGAUCCACCUCCCAUCCCCUGCCGGAUGGAGACACUCGAUCCCAGCUGCUGGGAGCUUACCCCUGAGUUCUUCCCCAGUGACUGCUCCCAGGAGAAGGGAUCCCCUCACUCAAGGUUACUCUCCACUCCAGAGGCAGCCCGCAUUCACUGACUUGUUGAUCAAGGGACAUCUUUGGGGAACCCGCCAAGCUUCAGACCUUUCCACGAGAUGGACUGAAACCUUUGUGGAAACUCAUUGCAAGUUUGAUUUCUCCAACAAAAGGAAUUCUGUCCGGUCCGCCUUUCUUCCCUUCCCCAACAUCUGUUGCUUCUGAGAGCAUUCCCCAAUAAACUUCCUGCAAGCAAAUGUCUAUUUCAGAGUCUUUUUACUGGAGAACUUCGUAUGAGACACAGGGGAAGCCAUUUAUUUCCCUGGAAAAGCUAGUAAUGGAGUCAGAAAUUCCUCUCUCUCUUUAUCUCAGCAUUUGCCUGUCAGGCUCCUUUGCUGGUACAUGCUGUCCCAGGAAGCCUUGAUCAGGCUGAAUCCACAAACUUAAUUUUGCUCAGGCAACAAAUGAAGUUGAGUCUCAGUUAUGAGGUCUUUGUUCAAUUUCUUCAUUUUUUGAAUAACUUUUCUUCAGGGCAAUACUGGAUCAAAGACUCUACGUUGGAACUGUGGUCAAAUU
Molecule: long non-coding RNA, 2497 nt
Organism: Prionailurus viverrinus (fishing cat)
Lineage: Eukaryota; Metazoa; Chordata; Mammalia; Carnivora; Felidae
Exons: 3
Source: RefSeq, a predicted model, not a curated record